UAACUCCCUAUGGAACUGUCAUGUGUGAUAAUAAUGGCGGAGUUGGCAAAAACACAAUCAGAUCUGGGACCAGGCUAUAGGAGGAGACAACAGAUCUGGGACCAGGCUAUAGUAGGAGACGACAGACAACGGUUGGGACACAUCCAAUCCCUGCUUUGAGGUGGCAGAUGGCCAUAUGACAGAGACCUCUCAGUAUCAAUACAGUAUUUAACAAUAGUAUGCAUACAUUAGAUGCUGGAAAACUCUUGAAUGGUCCACAAAAUGUGUGGAUAAAAGUUCCCAUCAUUGAAGUGUUUCGCAACUCCAGUUCUCCAAUACCCCCAACAGCCCAACUCCAGUCCUCCAGUACCCCCAACAGCCCAACUCUAGUCCUCCAGUACCCCAACAGCCCAACUCCAGUCCUCCAGUACCCCCAACAGCCCAACUCCAGUCCUCCAGUACCCCCAACAGCCCAACUCUAGUCCUCCAGUACCCCAACAGCCCAACUCCAGUUCUCCAAUACCC
Long non-coding RNA from Oncorhynchus tshawytscha (Chinook salmon), 504 nucleotides. Lineage: Eukaryota; Metazoa; Chordata; Actinopteri; Salmoniformes; Salmonidae. The record is from Ensembl.